CCUACGGGAGGCAGCAGUGAGGAAUAUUGGUCAAUGGGCGCGAGCCUGAACCAGCCAAGUCGCGUGAGGGAUGACGGUCCUACGGAUUGUAAACCUCUUUUGCCGGGGAGCAAGCGUGCGUUCGUGAACGCGCGUCGAGAGUACCCGGAGAAAAAGCAUCGGCUAACUCCGUGCCAGCAGCCGCGGUAAUACGGAGUAUGCGGGCGUUAAUCGGAAUUACUGGGCGUAAAGUGUGUGCGGGCGGCUGCGUAAGACAGAUGUGAAAUCCCCGGGCUUAACCUGGGAACCGCAUAUGUGACGGCUUGGCUAGAGUGCGUCAGAGGGAGGUGGAAUUCCACGUGUAGCAGUGAAAUGCGUAGAUAUGUGGAAGAACACCGAUGGCGAAGGCAGCCUCCUGGGACGCAACUGACGCUCAUACACGAAAGCGUGGGGAGCAAACAGGAUUAGAUACCCGUGUAGUC
Molecule: ribosomal RNA, 461 nt
Filed under: uncultured bacterium
Lineage: Bacteria
Description: partial 16S ribosomal RNA
Rfam family: Bacterial small subunit ribosomal RNA
Source: RNAcentral